This 436-nucleotide ribosomal RNA is filed under the name Pseudomonas sp. MF40. Its description in RNAcentral is "bacterial SSU rRNA". It matches the Rfam family "Bacterial small subunit ribosomal RNA", at positions 54 to 487 of the family's 1533-position model. Lineage: Bacteria; Pseudomonadati; Pseudomonadota; Gammaproteobacteria; Pseudomonadales; Pseudomonadaceae. The record is from RNAcentral.
CAUGCAAGUCGAGCGGAUGAGUGGAGCUUGCUCCAUGAUUCAGCGGCGGACGGGUGAGUAAUGCCUAGGAAUCUGCCCGGUAGUGGGGGAUAACGUCCGGAAACGGGCGCUAAUACCGCAUACGUCCUACGGGAGAAAGCAGGGGACCUUCGGGCCUUGCGCUAUCGGAUGAGCCUAGGUCGGAUUAGCUAGUUGGUGAGGUAAUGGCUCACCAAGGCGACGAUCCGUAACUGGUCUGAGAGGAUGAUCCAGUCACACUGGAACUGAGACACGGUCCAGACUCCUACGGGAGGCAGCAGUGGGGAAUAUUGGACAAUGGGCGAAAGCCUGAUCCAGCCAUGCCGCGUGUGUGAAGAAGGUCUUCGGAUUGUAAAGCACUUUAAGUUGGGAGGAAGGGUGUAGAUUAAUACUCUGCAAUUUGACGUACCGACAGAAA